AUUUUGCAAAUAUUUUGUGUCCUGCGCUCUCCCCACGAGCGAGCGUGGCACUGGACACCGCUCUCCGCUUGUGCAUCCAGCCUGGGGCUGUCUCCCGGCUGGGCAGGAGCACCGGUGAGUGGGUACAGCGCCAUGUACCUCAGCACGUGGCUGCAUUGCUCCUCGGUUCUGAAAACGCUACGUAUCCUCUUAACAGCUCUAAUCUUUAGAGCACUUGACAAAUACUACCACUGCCAGGACAAAUACUACCACUGUUGUUGCCAGGUGGACAAAUACGUGAUUUCAGCCCUGUUGAGGAAACAGAUACUGAAGUUAACCAACUUGCCAAAUGUGACAGAAGCAGUUAAAGAGAAUAGAAACCCCAGUUCAAUAGAUAGCUGGGCACAUGGUUAAAUUCCUUCAUUUUCAACAAAGAAUGUAAACAUCUGUGAAAUGUCCUGCUAAGCCUGUGCUAGAGAGGCUUCAGGCCUGCUGAUUGCUGGCGUGGUGCUCCAGUCCCUAUAGCUCAUGUUACAAGUAGUUUCUUUGGAAAAGCUCUUCUAUUGUUCAGUCUUUUCCAUAAGCUAGGUUCCGUAAGCACGCAACAAAUUUUUAAUACAUAAAAGCAGUUGUCAUGGAGAUAUUGUGAUCCAAAGUGAUUUUUUUAAAAUAAGUGACACAAACUUGGCACAUCCCAUGUGCCUUGUGCAGACAAUUCCUACAUGAUGCUUCCUGUGUUAGGCAUGGGAUAGAUACCUUUGCUUUUUGUGCCAGCAUGCUACGGAGAAACCACUGUUUCUGGCUUUCAGAUGAUUGGCUUUAGGAAUUUGAAAAAUGUUGUACUUAUAAGAGUGGGGUUUUUUUUUCAAGUCGCAACAUCGUAGCAAGGGGCUGCGCUGCUCACUUCUGUGAAAUCUCAAACACAAUGCAACAGCUGAAUUAUGGCUAAAACCUCUGCAGGAUAUAUUUUCUCUCCUCGUCUUGAUGCAUAGACUUAGGGCAAAAUGCAGUAACUAAUCCAAAAGAAAGCAGCUGGCUAAUGUAGCUGGGGAGGCUUCAGGGUCAUAAUGAGGAUCGUCUUCCUUGGAACGAGACUGCGAUCCUCUUGAAUACCUAUAAAUCCAGGGAGACCAAGUGCUGUACCUGCAGACUGAAGGGUAUCAAGCCUGAGCUCUCUGAGGCAUUUUGCCCAUGCUUGUCAUAACAUUUCUGCUCUUUAAGUGUGCUCUUGCAAAGUAGUACACAGUGCAGUUCAACCAAUAAGUAGGACUCUUACCUUUAUUCUGGGCCUCUUUUUUCUUGUCUUGUCCUGGAGAUCCUGUUACGCUUAAGCCAGGCAAUGCCUAACUGAUGUAGCCAUUCUGUAGCCUAUUUAGCUGAGUAGAUGAAUGAGAGUCUCUGCAUAUUAUAGCUAUGGCAUUUUUUUUUUUUCAGAUAUUUACUCUUCAGUUAAUACUACAUCACAGUUACUGUUGUAAUGACCUUCAUCUGGACCAAGCAACUAGAGAGUUAAGCUACAGAAAGGCUGCAAAAAAAAAAAGGAUCGCAGCAAGAAAAUGUGAGGUAUUCCCCCCUCACUUUCCUGCCAGGUGCACAGCUUCCUUGCUUCCCCCUUUUCAGCCCCACUGAAUUGGAUUUAGCCAAAUGAUCCGCAACACCUCGUAAGCUCUGGAAAUAUUAUUCUAAACUGUGAAGCUUUGCUCCCUGAAGUUGUGUAUAAGGACUGAAUGAGUGGAGAGGCGAUGCAGGGUCUAUUACAAAAGCAGUUGAUCUCCGUUGUGCAGAACGAGAGGGAGAAGCUUGUCAGCUUCACAAGGGAGGCUCUCUGUCAUGGAAUCACUUGCCCAGUGCUGCAGGACGCUGCACAGCAAGUUUAAUUUUGAUUCACAUUUUACUAUCAAAAAUAAUCUUACAAAAAUCUGGCUGAACUUCCUCAGAAGAAUGUUUAUUUCAGAAAGAGCACCUUCCAGGGCGCCCAAGCUAUAAUACAAAUUGAUCUCAACAGCGUAAGUGUUAAACCUACCAUUCUUGUGUUGCAGCUGUUUCCAGAUGAAGUCCCUCAAUAUACCUCUUCAUAAAUUGCCUCCUCUGUCCUUACUGUUGUUACACUUCCCUUAAAAAAUGGUGUCUAUUAUAGCCAAAAAUCAUUCAUAUUUAUUAUUCUAGUAGCCCAAAAAAACUUUCUUGGUACAGCAACUACUGCUUUAAUUUUUUGACAGUGUCCAACUGGAGACAGGCAAAUUUGCCAAAAUCUAUCAAGAAUUACUCUUGUGUAGAUAAUACACCGAGUGAAAGAAUUUCCACAAUAAAGGUGUGUACAUUACAGUAGCCUUGAGAUAGGGCUGACUUCUUCCAAAACAAGUUCUUCUGGUUUUAUGUGACUAUUUAAUGUAGCCCUGUGUUCAAGAAAAUAACUCUUGCUCUUACUCUGUACUAUGAAACCAGUAUAGCAGGAGGCACCAUGGGCUGGCGAACAGAUCAGGAGACAGGAGGUGUCUGAUGUAUCUGUCUAAAGAUUUUCAGGGCCAUUUCAACUCCCACUUCCCCUUCUGUGAAGUGUUACAGCUGCUAUUGAUUAUGCUAGUUCUAUGAGAUUUUUUUGAAACUGAAAUACGCUUUCUUCAAAGUAUAAGGUAUCUUUAACAGAAAAGUCAUAACUAUUAGGUGAACAAAGUAAUUGUUUUCUUAUGUCUGUGAAUGAAAAAGCUUCUGGGCAGUGCCACUGAAUGCAAAUACUUGUAUUUUGUUCAUCUGUUUCAAAUAUAAGUGCUUUCUACAUAUCAUCCAGAAGAAAAAAAAAAAAACAUGUAUUCCUUUUAGAGGGGAUAGGAUCUCUGAAGAAUACUCACAAUGAGUAUCUGUAACAUGGCUUUUCACUUACAGCAUUUCUGCAUCCUCUUUUACCCCAAAAGAUUCUGCAGUGUUCCAUGGCUGGCAGGCACAAAGGUAAUUUCACUUAUCCUGAAAAGCAGCUAUACCUAAGAUGAAGUCAGAACCACAACACUGGACAAUAAGAUUUCUAGGCAAGGGAGUGACUAACCAUUUAUCCACUUGAACUCCCAAUAUGUAUUUUUAAACUAGGGGUGCUACCAGCAAAGUACAGCGUACUGUCAAGUAAAACCAUGUAGGUAACAGUCGCCGGCAGACUGAGUACGCAUACCUGUGCAUCCAAUCACUCCUAGUCAUCUGUUUUAUGAUGGGAUUGUGAAUUGUACUUUUUUUGUUUUUGUAAUUAAAGGGUGGAACAGAUGGUGAGAACUUGAAGAGCUGCAUCCAUUAAAUUAAUGUAGAGAAUGUUUCCACAUUAUAAUUUAAUAUAAUGGGAUUUUACUUCACUGAAAGAAAACUACACAGUCUAGUGCUGGGAAUGUUUACUAUAUGAGAAGCUUCACUGUUAAAAGAUUUCACUGAGUCAUGCUGUGAGUCUCUGCCAAAUGCCGAUCAUAUGACCAACCCAGUUAAAAAAGGGUGUUUCUUCAUGCCAAUAUAUUUCACAUGCCACCCUACAGUGAACCUUUUUUCAACUCUACACCUGUGGAUUUUUGGUGUGGAUGUUAACACCAAAAGGGGACAAUGCAAUCUGACUGCAUAUGUUUAAAAAAGAGUAGGUAUGGACAAGCACAAGCUAGCUGGUUUAGUAGUAAGAAUGCUGUAACAAGUGGGGCUGGGUUUGACAUGAUUUCAGAGGUAGGUUUAAGGCAGACAAUCCAAACCAAUCAUUGACAGUGGUAAAAAUCAAUGAAUGUUUUGCCAGUUCCAGGCAUCAAGAUGCUACGCUUUGGAUAGCAACCAGUUUCAAAAGUUCAGAGAAUAAACUUUCUUGUUUCUGUUGAGGCAGGGGUUUUAAUUGCUGUGGUUAAGACAGAAGAAGAAAAUCCAAAAGCAGAGGCAUGAAUUUUUUAAGCAGCAGUGGACACUGCUAGGUUUUCCUAAAUCUCAGAAAAUAUUUAUACAUAACUGUAAAUAUUUGAGUGAAACUUGUCCAAACUAAAUUUUGGGAAUCCUGUAUUUUAUUACUGAAAUGUUUUUUAUCCACGGAAAGUUACAGCAAAUGUUUUGUACUAGUGAUUCUUUACUCCAGCAAGCUCCAGCUGUAGAUACAUAAUACUCGUCUCCCACGCAGCUCCGCCAUGGCUAGCAAUCAAUACAUUGUCUUCUGCGUACAAAGGCUAUUCCUCUAAUAAUCAGAGACUGGGAUAGGGGUGAAAUCAUUACGGAAAAUAGUUCUAGAAAGAAGACAAAGACUCACAAUGGGCCCAAGUGUCUCUGCUGCAACCCUUACUCCAACUAAAAUGCACUAAAGAUUGACUUGCCUCGGUGACUACUGAAGAAGAAAGUUAAAGGGAAGAGCACACAUACCACAGAAAGUUUAAAUUACACUUCCCUUCAGUGUAAUCUGUGAAAUCACUGUUAUGCUGCGUGGGAAUAAUUGAGAGGUCAUGGAGGAUUAUGUGGACAUUUAUGUUUCAUUCUGGCUUAAGCAUGUUCAACUCCAGUGAUAUCAACAAAAUUGUUUCCAUCUUCAGUAAUGCUGCAUUUGCUUCUAGGACUUAAUGAAAGAACAAUAAGUUUAGUAACUGCACAUACUGCUCUCUCACUGAGAUCUCCAUUUUUUCAAAUUUUCAGCAUUCAACUCCUGAAGCGCCAUUUCAGACACACUGAAGCUUCCCUACCCGGUGUAUGGAAAUGAAAAAUAGGGUGGUUAACAGUUUCAGAAUACAACACAUCCCACCUCUCCUAGCACAAGGCAGAACAUUGCUUUAAUGGCAACGGGUUUUGUCAGGGAGCCUGAUACACUGUGCUUAAGUCUUCACCUACUGCUGCAUGAGACGCGAUGUAUCACUGCCUCUUCCCUAUUUCCCUUUGUCAGGGAAGGAAAACUUUCACUCUAUUCCUCUAUAAGCUCUCAGUGGAGGAAUGUCUCUUGCACUGGCUGUUUCUCACUUCUCUAACUAUUAGCUUAUCCUUCCUCCCCAGGAAAAGGUAGGGACUUCUUGUUUGGAGAAACAUUCACACAGCUGAAGUAAAGCCUAUGGUGUUACUGAGCAGUUUCUCCUCUGGCACCACGUGCACUUCAAACUGCAGCAAAGCGCAUUCUAUGGGAUAAUUAGCAGCUGUAUUCAAGUGACUCAAGGGAAGAUUCGAGUUCUGAAUUUUGAGAGGAUGUUUGUAUGCCUGAUAUAAUUUUGUCUCAUCACAGUCUGCGUAAGCUUUUUGUGCAACAGGACAAAGGAAAGAAUUAACCAGUGACUCCAAAAUACUUGCACUAGGAAAAUAACUAUUUUGUUUCAACAGCUGGUGUGACUUUUUCUCCAUUAAAUCUAAAGAACGCCAUUGAGCAGAGGUUUAAGUACAGCUUUUGCCAUCAGUAACACCCUACAACCAACAAGAAAGGAGAUCCAUUUGCAACGCUUCAAAAUAACGCUCGAUGUAAGAAAAUCAUUAAAAACAAACAGAUAGAAACCGACGGCAAAGCAGAACUGUCUGAGCUGUGUGGUUGGUCUAACCGUGCUAGAUCCUCUUGCGUGGCCCGUGGCUGGUGAUGCUGCAGCCUGGACGUGCCUUCAGCUGCAUCAGUAACGUCUCCUCUGAGCGUAUCAGCAGACACAAUGGGUUUGCAGCCCAGCGCAGGUGGAUUCAGGCUCCCUGCCAGCAGUGUUUCCAGAGCUGAUGUUGCUGUAUCUGCUCAGUAUGUCACAUUCAUCCGUUCCUCUUCUGCAUACCUGAGGGAUAUCACCCAACUUUAAGACUGCCUGUCUGGAGCUUCUUAAAUUAAAAGGCCCAGGUGAGAAAGGUACCACACCUCCUUAAAGCCACUGAGGCCCAGGACAUCAGUCUGCGUUUAGAGGUAAGGCCUCCACAGACACUGGCUUCGAGAGGACUUGAGGGACCCAUGUGGCAAAAAGUGCCUUUAUGCCUAAUUUAAAAUUGAUAAGAACUAAAUUUUUACACCAUCCAGUUACUGCAAAGAAGGAAAGUGGGCUGAAUAUACAGCAUAAAAAUUUAGAAUCCAGAUUUAUAACCUUGGAAUUUGACUAGCAGUUAUUGUUCCCAUACUUGCAGAAAUCAGGGCAAGCUGGUGUCUCUGCCUAGGAGAAAAUCCAACACAACCUACGUCCAGACUAAAAUUCUUGCAGAUAUUCCAUGGACAUAGGUCUAACCUCUAAUAUUACCACUGAGCUUUUAGGGGAGAUCUCCCUACUGCACCGUAACAAUGCUGAAGUAUCUUUGCGAGGAAAUAUUUGUAGAUAAUCCCUCUUCUGUUUAGGGGUGGCACAGAACUGGUAUAAUAAAUACACCGCCCCUUUUGUGGCCAGUGCGCACUGGGGAUCCCGGGAAGAGAGCCAAAGCGAAGUGAUGUAAUCCGCAGCUGACAAAAAAGGCCACCUGGGGAAGCUGAGGCAGGACAGCGAGAGCUGCAAGGCUGACCUUUGAAUUGCAGAAGCAGGAGGGGGAGCCUUCAGGCGGUUCUGCUUUCCCGCUCCCGUGCUGAGGACGGGAGGGGGGAGCUCUGGUACAGAACUACCCACAGCCACAACACCCCAGGCGGGGUAAUGAGUAACUCGGCAGAACUCACACGUGUUCUUCCACCGCUUCCUUUUAACACGGGGGGCUUUUGUCAACAUAGUUUCCAAACUUUGAAUUUUAAAUGUAGAUGCUCAUUUUAAUUUGGCACCAAAGUGUUAUAGAAACGGUUUGUUUUCAUGCUAUUUUGUGCACAAAGCAGCCUACAAGCCAUUCCCCCCUCAUUUUACACAUUUAAAGCCGCUGACCUAUAGAAACUUUACAUCCCUCAUUGUGGCUAACAGAUUUUUCUGAUUCCUCAUGCAGUGUUUUACUGCCCGCUGUCUGUCCCGUCCUCAUGCUUGCGCUUUGCUGUUGUUCGCUAACUUCCCCUCCCACUUUGUCAAGGAUCUUGUACACCUUCAUCUGUUUUUAUUCCUUCGCAGAAGGACAGAAGUUUUAACUAAUUUGAGGCAAAUACAGUUCUUUAAGCAUAUAUAUUUAUUCAGAGCGUUUCAAGAGAAGCACCUGAAGACAGCAGCACUCACAAUUAUCCUAAAUGUUUCCACAAGCCCUUGAGGCUCCCAACGCCUCGGCCGAGCUGUUUUUAUACAUUCAUGGGGACAGACAAGAAUCAGCGUCACACCCAUGCACAUUCACAGAGGCAUCUCCAACCCUCACCUAUAAACACGUGCCGUUUCAAAUGCACAAUGAAACUUUAAAUCAAAUAAGCCCGCCCCCUUCUUUUAGGAAAAGCAUGCCUGGGAAGGGCCUGAAACCAUAAAAGCUGGUUAAAAGAACUCUCCAAGACUCACUUUUGGAGUUUAGAAAGCAGACACUCUUUUAUUACAGCGCGGGAUGCACGGGGGAUAAUUCCUCCUAGCAUGCACACCUACUGGAGUUUAUUUUUGACAUUUAUACAUGAAAGUUUACACACCAUACCUAUCUAAUACAUAAUCAUUGACCUGACUGAGCAUCCUCUUCUUCCAUCAGUCUCUAUCUUCUUUGCUUAAGUUUAAAUCUACAGUGUGAUUUUAAUUCACUGCGCAUACUCAGAAGGAGUUGGGGAGGGCAGUCCUUUUGUCCCUCAAUUGAGUCGGUGGUCGCAAUCUCCCCCCGCCUGAAUUACUUUUCCCCCAGUUCCUGUGACUCUCACUGGUUUCAUCGUUUCACGGUUGUGGCAUCCCUCGAUCUUCCUUGAGGGAGGACGUUUCUUUCUGUUAUUGGUCCUUUCUCAGCUCUGAGAACCUUGAAUUCCUUUCACAAGUUGGCUCCCCAAGUCGUUUGUAUUUCUCAGGAUGGGGGCUAAGAUUAAUAAUGGCUCAAGCUUUAAGUUUAACCCUUUAGUUAUUUACAACACCCCUGUGCCCCGAGGGGGCCCCGGCUCACCCCCACGCUGUCCCCAUAGCCCCCCGGCACCCCAAGAAAUCCCCUGGCACCAGGAAACGGGUGAGCAGAUGGCGACAGCCUCCUGGCCGCGCUGGCCCCCAUGCCAGCCCGCGGGAUGCGGCCAGCCGGGGCUCCCCACCGUGCCGGGCAGCACCAGCCACUUCCAGGCGUGUCCCGGGGCUCCCCGGAGGGUGAGGCUGGAACCUUCUAUAUUUUAGCUUGUGUUCACGGUGUCAGGCCCGGGUACCUGCGCUAUCGCACUACCGGUAGUUUUGAGAACGGCGCCGCCUGCGGCCUGGCCCCGCUAGCGGCGCGGCGGGAUUAGGGCUGGGCGGGGACUGCGGAGCGGCGGCCCCCCGCCAGCACCCGCUCCUCCUUGCGGCGAGCGCUGAGGCCUCGGCCGCCGCUCCGGAGAGACGCGGAGGGGCGAAGCGGGCCGGGGACCCCCGCACGGGGCCGGCCCGGGGGCCGCCCCCCUCAGCCCACCGCCCGGCUCCGCUCCGCGCCCCGCCGCCAGGCCCUGCUGCCAUGGCAACGGGCGGGGCGCCGCCGCGGUGACGUCAGACGCACGGCCGGGCGGGUCCCGCCUCGCGCACCCUCAGCGCCGGGCGGGUGGGGGUUUGUGCGUCUGCUCCCCGCCUCCGCCUUCCCCGUUCUUCCCAAAAAUAAAG
Phalacrocorax carbo (great cormorant) is the source of this 8543-nucleotide non-coding RNA. The record is from RefSeq and is a predicted model, not a curated record. Lineage: Eukaryota; Metazoa; Chordata; Aves; Suliformes; Phalacrocoracidae.